This 408-nucleotide ribosomal RNA is filed under the name uncultured bacterium. RNAcentral describes it as "bacterial SSU rRNA". It matches the Rfam family "Bacterial small subunit ribosomal RNA", at positions 917 to 1344 of the family's 1533-position model. The record is from RNAcentral.
GGACCCGCACAAGCAGUGGAGCAUGUGGUUUAAUUCGACGCAACGCGAAGAACCUUACCAGCGUUUGACAUGGGAAGUACCGGUUACAGAAUGGUAACCUUCAGUUCGGCUGGCUUCCGCACAGGUGCUGCAUGGCUGUCGUCAGCUCGUGUCGUGAGAUGUUGGGUUAAGUCCCGCAACGAGCGCAACCCUUAUCGUUAGUUACUAACAGUUCGGCUGAGGACUCUAGCGAAACUGCCGGUGAUAAGCCGGAGGAAGGUGGGGAUGACGUCAAGUCCUCAUGGCCCUUACGGGUUGGGCUACACACGUGCUACAAUGGUAGUGACAAUGGGUUAAUCCCAAAAAGCUAUCUCAGUUCGGAUUGUCGUCUGCAACUCGACGGCAUGAAGUCGGAAUCGCUAGUAAUCG